UACGUAGGGUGCAAGCGUUAUCCGGAAUUAUUGGGCGUAAAGAGCUCGUAGGCGGUUUGUCGCGUCUGCUGUGAAAACUGGAGGCUCAACCUCCAGCCUGCAGUGGGUACGGGCAGACUAGAGUGCGGUAGGGGAGAUUGGAAUUCCUGGUGUAGCGGUGGAAUGCGCAGAUAUCAGGAGGAACACCAAUGCGAAGGCAGCUCGCUGGGACGUACUGACACUGAGGCGCGAAAGCUGGGGAGCAA
This 245-nucleotide ribosomal RNA is filed under the name uncultured bacterium. Its description in RNAcentral is "partial 16S ribosomal RNA". It matches the Rfam family "Bacterial small subunit ribosomal RNA", at positions 524 to 771 of the family's 1533-position model. The record is from RNAcentral.